This 253-nucleotide ribosomal RNA is filed under the name uncultured bacterium. RNAcentral describes it as "partial 16S ribosomal RNA". It matches the Rfam family "Bacterial small subunit ribosomal RNA", at positions 524 to 776 of the family's 1533-position model. The record is from RNAcentral.
UACGGAGGGGGCUAGCGUUGUUCGGAAUUACUGGGCGUAAAGGGUGCGUAGGCGGCUUUUUAAGUUUGGUGUGAAAUCUCCCGGCUCAACUGGGAGGGUGCGCCGAAUACUGAGAGGCUAGAGUGUGGGAGAGGAAAGUGGAAUUCCUGGUGUAGCGGUGAAAUGCGCAGAUAUCAGGAGGAACACCGGUGGCGAAGGCGGGUCUCUGGGCUGAUACUGACGCUGAGGAGCGAAAGCGUGGGGAGCGAACAGG